UACGAGGAGCUAGCGUAGUCGAAUACUGGGGCGUAAGCGCACGUAGGCGGCUUUUAAGUCAGAGGUGAAAUCCCGGGGCUCAACCCCGGAACUGCCUUUGAAACUGGAAAGCUAGAAUCUUGGAGAGGCGAGUGGAAUUCCGAGUGUAGAGGUGAAAUUCGUAGAUAUUCGGAAGAACACCAGUGGCGAAGGCGACUCGCUGGACAAGUAUUGACGCUGAGGUGCGAAAGCGUGGGGAGCAAACAGGAUUAGAUACCCGUGUAGU
Molecule: ribosomal RNA, 265 nt
Filed under: uncultured bacterium
Lineage: Bacteria
Description: partial 16S ribosomal RNA
Rfam family: Bacterial small subunit ribosomal RNA
Source: RNAcentral